This 447-nucleotide ribosomal RNA is filed under the name uncultured bacterium. RNAcentral describes it as "partial 16S ribosomal RNA". It matches the Rfam family "Bacterial small subunit ribosomal RNA", at positions 330 to 793 of the family's 1533-position model. The record is from RNAcentral.
UCCAGACUCCUACGGGAGGCAGCAGUGGGGGAUAUUGCACAAUGGGGGGAACCCUGAUGCAGCGACGCCGCGUGGGUGAAGGAGCGUUUCGGCGCGUAAAGCCCUCUCGGCAGGGAAGAAGGAGGACGGUACCUGACUAAGAAGCCCCGGCUAACUACGUGCCAGCAGCCGCGGUAAUACGUAGGGGGCAAGCGUUAUCCGGAUUUACUGGGUGGAAAGGGGGCGCAGACGGCGAUGCAAGCCAGGAGUGAAAGCCCGGGGCCCAACCCCGGGACUGCUCUUGGAACUGCGUGGCUGGAGUGCAGGAGGGGCAGGCGGAAUUCCUGGUGUAGCGGUGAAAUGCGUAGAUAUCAGGAGGAACACCGGUGGCGAAGGCGGCCUGCUGGACUGCAACUGACGUUGAGGCCCGAAAGCGUGGGGAGCAAACAGGAUUAGAUACCCGGGUAA